This 254-nucleotide ribosomal RNA is filed under the name uncultured bacterium. Its description in RNAcentral is "partial 16S ribosomal RNA". It matches the Rfam family "Bacterial small subunit ribosomal RNA", at positions 335 to 607 of the family's 1533-position model. The record is from RNAcentral.
GUCCUACGGGGGGCAGCAGUGGGGAAUAUUGCAUAAUGGGGGAAACCCUGAUGCAGCGACGCCGCGUGAGUGAAGAAGUAUUUCGGUAUGUAAAGCUCUAUCAGCAGGGAAGAAAAUGACGGUACCCGACUAAGAAGCCCCGGCUAACUACGUGCCAGCAGCCGCGGUAAUACGUAGGGGGCAAGCGUUAUCCGGAUUUACUGGGUGUAAAGGGAGCGUAGACGGCGCUGCAAGUCCGGAGUGAAAGCCCAUGG